GUUCUCGUCAGAUCAUCAAAGUUAAGCAUCGUCGAGGCUGACUAGUACCGAGAUGGGUGACCUUUUGUAAAUAGCAGGUGCUGUAU
Non-coding RNA from Acanthosepion pharaonis, 86 nucleotides. The record is from the annotation of a GenBank genome assembly. Lineage: Eukaryota; Metazoa; Mollusca; Cephalopoda; Sepiida; Sepiidae.